Molecule: long non-coding RNA, 311 nt
Filed under: Elaeis guineensis (African oil palm)
Lineage: Eukaryota; Viridiplantae; Streptophyta; Magnoliopsida; Arecales; Arecaceae
Description: long non-coding RNA (EGUI_LNC076487)
Source: RNAcentral
AACUUGACAUGAGCACGGCACAUGCUGGCAUGCAUAUUUCUUCUCUUGGCAUGUGGAGAGUGGUGGCUCCAAAGAUGACGUGGACAAAUCCAAGUAUGGCCCUAUGGACCCAAAGCUAAAUGUAUUAAAAAUUUAUUGACUGAAAAUAAAUAAUUAAAGUAGAAUCAAUCUAAUGAGGCUUCUUCGAUCCAAAUCAAAUUUAAAUCAUGUUGCCAAUUUUUGAUGGCUCUGGUGUCCGCACCAAUUCUUUCGAGGUGAGGGAAACUCGAUCCUGUCGAGUGUGGGUCGAUUCCACUCUGGUGAUGCUCAAG